Molecule: ribosomal RNA, 253 nt
Filed under: uncultured bacterium
Lineage: Bacteria
Description: partial 16S ribosomal RNA
Rfam family: Bacterial small subunit ribosomal RNA
Source: RNAcentral
GACGUAGGGGGCAAGCGUUGUUCGGAAUUAUUGGGCGUAAAGAGCUCGUAGGCGGUCUGUCGCGUCUGCUGUGAAAACUCGGGGCUUAACCCCGGGCCUGCAGUGGGUACGGGCAGACUAGAGUGCGGUAGGGGAGACUGGAAUUCCUGGUGUAGCGGUGAAAUGCGCAGAUAUCAGGAGGAACACCGAUGGCGAAGGCAGAUCUCUGGGCCGUAACUGACGCUGAGGAGCGAAAGCAUGGGGAGCGAACAGG